GGAUACUGAGUCUGACUCUGGUGAAUUUUGGGUCCUAUUUGGUGGCUUUGCACCCAUUGGGAAGAAAGUCGCAAGUGAAGAUGAUAUAAUUCCAGAACCUGCUCCUGCUAAGCUUCUCAGCAUUGAUGGUGGUGAAGUAAAAGUUGUUGAUGGCGAACUAUCAAAAUCCAUACUGGAAAAUAAUAAGUGUUAUCUGCUGGACUGUGGUGCUGAAAUAUUUGUUUGGGUUGGAAGAGUGACACAAGUAGAGGAGCGAAAAGCAGCAAUACAAGUAGCUGAGGAAUUUAUUGCCAGCCAGAAUAGGCCAAAGGCAACUCGUGUUACUCGGGUUAUACAAGGUUAUGAAACACAUUCUUUUAAGUCCAACUUCGAGUCCUGGCCAGUUGGAUCAGUGACUACAGGUGCCGAGGAAGGAAGAGGAAAAGUAGCUGCUCUAUUGAAGCAACAAGGUCUUGGUCUCAAGGGAUUAACAAAAAGUGCACCAGUGAAUGAGGAUGUUCCACCGUUGCUGGAGGGAGGCGGGAAAAUGGAGGUAUGGCGAAU
This 543-nucleotide unclassified non-coding RNA is filed under the name Hevea brasiliensis (rubber tree). The record is from RNAcentral. Lineage: Eukaryota; Viridiplantae; Streptophyta; Magnoliopsida; Malpighiales; Euphorbiaceae.